This 398-nucleotide ribosomal RNA is filed under the name uncultured bacterium. RNAcentral's name for it is "bacterial SSU rRNA". It matches the Rfam family "Bacterial small subunit ribosomal RNA", at positions 32 to 423 of the family's 1533-position model. The record is from RNAcentral.
AAUCAACGCUGGCGGCGUGCCUCAGACAUGCAAGUCGAACGAUUAAAGCUCUCUUCGGAGAGUGCAUAGAGUGGCGCACGGGUGAGUAACACGUAAGUAAUCUACCCUCGAGUGGGGAAUAACAACCGGAAACGGUUGCUAAUACCGCAUAAUGCAGCGGCACCGCAAGGUGACAGUUGUUAAAGAUUUAUCGCUUGAGGAGGAGCUUGCGGCAGAUUAGCAGUUGGUAAGGUAAUGGCUUACCAAGGCUACGAUCUGUAACCGGUCUAAGAGGACGGUCGGUCACACUGACACUGAAUAACGGGUCAGACUCCUACGGGAGGCAGCAGUCGGGAAUUUUGGGCAAUGGGCGAAAGCCUGACCCAGCAACGCCGCGUGAAGGAUGAAGUAUUUCGGUA